AAAGCCGUACCAAUCCGGAGAUAAAAUACAUAAAUCCCAAAAACAAACUUACAAACCAAGUAAUCGAAUUAGGGUUUACACAUUUUCCAGCUUCAAGUGGCAAUCAAAAAAAAGAAAUUACAUUAUCCCAAAUAACACAUUACAGCCCAUAGCAUAAGUCAUAGUGUUCGAAUACAAUCCAAAAGGUAAACAUAAGUAAGCAUCCAGCUUUCAGUUUCCAGAACCUGUUAAGGAAAACAAUAAACGUGGGGUG
This 253-nucleotide long non-coding RNA is filed under the name Coffea arabica (coffee). RNAcentral's name for it is "long non-coding RNA (CARA_LNC007683)". The record is from RNAcentral. Lineage: Eukaryota; Viridiplantae; Streptophyta; Magnoliopsida; Gentianales; Rubiaceae.